AAGCCAGAGACCAAGAGAGGAAGGUGAUCUGCCCAGAGUCAUAAAGAUGAGGACUCCAUAGUGCAGAAAAGGAAAUGCAUUUGUUCCACACAUUAUCCAGCAGCAUUCACAGAUCAAUGCAGCCGAGGGAAACGAAUAAACAACAACAAAACACUGAGAGAAAAAAAAAGAAGAUAUUGGGUCUCAUUGCCAAAUGUCCCAUUUUAGAUGAAACAAUCUCAGGAAAUCAGAACCAAAGGCGGGACUUUGUAAGUAACCUUCUAGGUGACAGAGGAAGUCAUACAGAGAGAACAAAGGAAAAGAAAGAAGAAAUGGAGGAAGAAAAAGAGGAAGAUGAGGACAUUCUCUUAGCCCCUCUCCCCCAUGCCAAACAUAUCAUUCAUUCAUUCAAAAAGCAUUGAGUAAACACCCACUGCAUGACUGGUUAAUGGUUGGUAUCCUUUGUUCUCAAAGAGAAUCAAAAUGGCAUCCCUAUGAUAGAGUCAAGCUACAGUGUGUCCAUCUAUGACUAAGCAGACCAAUACAAGCUCAGAAUGCUCUACCGCAGAUUGGGCACAAAUAGUCCACGU
Vombatus ursinus (common wombat) is the source of this 569-nucleotide long non-coding RNA. RefSeq lists it as uncharacterized. NCBI's taxonomy places the organism in Eukaryota, Metazoa, Chordata, Mammalia, Diprotodontia, Vombatidae. The record is from RefSeq and is a predicted model, not a curated record. The transcript is spliced from 3 exons.